This 235-nucleotide long non-coding RNA is filed under the name Homo sapiens (human). RNAcentral describes it as "HSALNT0177181". Lineage: Eukaryota; Metazoa; Chordata; Mammalia; Primates; Hominidae. The record is from RNAcentral.
CUUCCUCAUCCACUGCCCUGGGCUUUGGCUCAGGUGGUGGCCACGGGCCGAACGGCAGGAGGGCAUGAUGGGCCUGAGGACUCCUGGGUCCCCGACCAUGUUCCCAGCAGCACUUGAGUUAAACAGGUGGGAGGGGAAAAGGAGCAGCCCCCUCUCCCCACAGAUGAGCUAGAGUAGAGGGGCUGAGAGCUUGGAAGCCCCCAAGACUGGUUCUCAGCAAUAUUGCCAAGGGGCC